UGAAUCUUUCAAACUAUUGAGUACUUAAACUUUGAUUUGAGUGCUGUGAAUUUUUUUAUUUGAAUAGGAAGAUCUGAUGC
Cicer arietinum (chickpea) is the source of this 80-nucleotide non-coding RNA. NCBI's taxonomy places the organism in Eukaryota, Viridiplantae, Streptophyta, Magnoliopsida, Fabales, Fabaceae. The record is from Rfam.